UAGGGAAUCUUCCACAAUGGACGCAAGUCUGAUGGAGCAACGCCGCGUGAGUGAAGAAGGUUUUCGGAUCGUAAAGCUCUGUUGUUGGUGAAGAAGGAUAGAGGCAGUAACUGGUCUUUAUUUGACGGUAAUCAACCAGAAAGUCACGGCUAACUACGUGCCAGCAGCCGCGGUAAUACGUAGGUGGCAAGCGUUGUCCGGAUUUAUUGGGCGUAAAGCGAGCGCAGGCGGAAUGAUAAGUCUGAUGUGAAAGCCCACGGCUCAACCGUGGAACUGCAUCGGAAACUGUCAUUCUUGAGUGCAGAAGAGGAGAGUGGAAUUCCAUGUGUAGCGGUGGAAUGCGUAGAUAUAUGGAAGCACACCAGUGGCGAAGGCGGCUCUCUGGUCUGCAACUGACGCUGAGGCUCGAAAGCAUGGGUAGCGAACAGG
Molecule: ribosomal RNA, 429 nt
Filed under: bacterium
Lineage: Bacteria
Description: partial 16S ribosomal RNA
Rfam family: Bacterial small subunit ribosomal RNA
Source: RNAcentral